Molecule: long non-coding RNA, 303 nt
Filed under: Danio rerio (zebrafish)
Lineage: Eukaryota; Metazoa; Chordata; Actinopteri; Cypriniformes; Danionidae
Description: si:ch211-80n22.8 (ENSDARG00000097915.2)
Source: RNAcentral
GCACCAGAGGUAAAGCUCCAAAAGCCACGCCAAUCAGUGAUGAUUUAGUAGAUGGUCUGAAAUGCGGGUACACGAUAUUACGUGCAUGCAGCCACCUGCGACAAGGUCACUCAGGGGUCAAGAUUCACAGCAAGAAGGUCGCUGUUUCGAGUCCCGGCUGGGUCAGUUGGCAUUUCUGUGUGGAGUUUGCAUUUUCCCCCUGUGAGUUUCUUCCAGGCGCUCAGGUUUCAGUCCCAAGACAUGCGCUACAGCAACAUCUUGCUGCCGGCGGAUUUUGCAGUGAUGGAAUUCUGUCUUCUUGGU